Molecule: ribosomal RNA, 641 nt
Filed under: uncultured bacterium
Lineage: Bacteria
Description: bacterial SSU rRNA
Rfam family: Bacterial small subunit ribosomal RNA
Source: RNAcentral
GGAUACACUUAGUGGCGGACGGGUGAGUAACGCGUGGGUACCUGCCUCACACUGGGGGAUAACAGUUAGAAAUAGCUGCUAAUACCGCAUAAGUCCGCAUGGAAAAAACUCCGGUGGUGUGAGAUGGACCCGCGUCUGAUUAGCCAGUUGGCGGGGUAACGGCCCACCAAAGCGACGAUCAGUAGCCGGCCUGAGAGGGUGAACGGCCACAUUGGGACUGAGACACGGCCCAAACUCCUACGGGAGGCAGCAGUGGGGAAUAUUGCACAAUGGGGGAAACCCUGAUGCAGCGACGCCGCGUGAGUGAAGAAGUAUUUCGGUAUGUAAAGCUCUAUCAGCAGGGAAGAAGUGACGGUACCUGAAUAAGAAGCCCCGGCUAACUACGUGCCAGCAGCCGCGGUAAUACGUAGGGGGCAAGCGUUAUCCGGAUUUACUGGGUGUAAAGGGAGCGUAGACGGCAAGGCAAGUCUGAAGUGAAAGCCCGGUGCUUAACGCCGGGACUGCUUUGGAAACUGUUUAGCUGGAGUGCCGGAGAGGUAAGCGGAAUUCCUAGUGUAGCGGUGAAAUGCGUAGAUAUUAGGAAGAACACCAGUGGCGAAGGCGGCUUACUGGACGGUAACUGACGUUGAGGCUCGAAAGCG